Molecule: ribosomal RNA, 160 nt
Filed under: Corethrogyne filaginifolia var. linifolia
Lineage: Eukaryota; Viridiplantae; Streptophyta; Magnoliopsida; Asterales; Asteraceae
Also listed under: 1 other name
Description: 5.8S ribosomal RNA
Rfam family: 5.8S ribosomal RNA
About the family: 5.8S ribosomal RNA (5.8S rRNA) is a component of the large subunit of the eukaryotic ribosome. It is transcribed by RNA polymerase I as part of the 45S precursor that also contains 18S and 28S rRNA.
Source: RNAcentral
CGACUCUCGGCAACGGAUAUCUCGGCUCACGCAUCGAUGAAGAACGUAGCAAAAUGCGAUACUUGGUGUGAAUUGCAGAAUCCCGUGAACCAUCGAGUUUUUGAACGCAAGUUGCGCCCGAAGCCAUUCGGCUGAGGGCACGUCUGCCUGGGCGUCACGC